AUAGAUCCAGCAUGAAUGUAAGAUAAAGAGGAGGAAUCAAAGAUGACUGCAGGGGUUUUGCCUGAGCAGCUGCAAGGAAGAAGUUACCAACUGGCAUCAGUAAGUCUGGGCAGGUCAGAACCCAUUGUUAAGACUCCAGUGGUUCGAAGUCAUGUCAAAACAAGAGUUACCAGUUGGAAGAACGAGAAUGUUUGCUCCAAGGUCUUUCAGUAG
RNAcentral lists this long non-coding RNA (213 nucleotides) under Mustela putorius furo (domestic ferret). RNAcentral describes it as "lncRNA (ENSMPUG00000028151.1)". Lineage: Eukaryota; Metazoa; Chordata; Mammalia; Carnivora; Mustelidae. The record is from RNAcentral.